AUCCAAAUGACUAGUCCCAAAUAGGACGAAACGCACAUCUUGAAU
RNAcentral lists this non-coding RNA (45 nucleotides) under Schistosoma mansoni. The record is from RNAcentral. Lineage: Eukaryota; Metazoa; Platyhelminthes; Trematoda; Strigeidida; Schistosomatidae.